UCUACCCUAACCCCCAAAUCCACAAUCCAUAGUUCCAUACCCUAACCUUCAGGCUUCAGUACUUAUCGCUCCCUCUUCUCCAAAUCUCCACACCUGCCAACCUGUGCACUCAGCCACACCUGCCGACCUGCGCACCCAGCCACCCACCACCGCGAAGCCUUCGGCCCGUCGCACAUCAGGCCAAUACGAAGCCACCACCGACCGACUCGACACGGCAGCACAGCACCACACCGCCGCCGUUGAGACGCCACCACCCGAAGCACCGUUUCUGGCCACCCAUAGCAGUACAGCUGCGUUUCUGGCCACCCACAACACAGCGCAACACCGAGCCACCCAGCCACUGAUUCAAGUCAUAUAUGGAGCCUCCGAGUUAGCAUACUCACAGGGCUUCUUCAAUUCAUGAUGGACAACCACCGAGAAGCAGUGUUUAGCAAAAUCUUCCCUUUCUUUCAAUUGCAAGAAGUAGGUCUAUUGCAUCAUCUCUUCACAAGUCACCAUAGAAUUUAGCAAGUUAACAACAUACCAAUGAAAGAUUCACGUGGAAGUGGUCGACAAACUUGGCAAGACUAUGCCAGGCAACAAAGACAAAAUAUGAGCGAAGAACAGAGGCAGCAACACCUUUCCAGAAGGCGUGCCAGUUACCGAGAGAGUAUUAGAUGAGGAAAACAAAUCGAUACAUCGAGUGGAACUAACAUGACAACACCAUUACAAGAUAUCACAAACACACCUGCUCAUCAAUAUUCUGUAUCAGAAAUUUAUGGAAAUAGAUCUGAUCAAAACAGUAGACGUGAAGAAAAAAUAACAAGUGUUGGAACAUGAAGAUUAAAUCACUUGCAAGCUUAGAGGGUUAAUCGAUUAAUUGGCCAACAUUUCCUUUACUGUAUUUUGAUUUAAGUAGUUAUUAGCUUUUAUUUGAUGUUAUGUUUAGUUGGUUUGUUACAACUCUUGAUAUUGAUAAACUCUUUUAUUUUGAUAUGUUACAUAUUUUGGAAGUA
Molecule: non-coding RNA, 995 nt
Organism: Arachis ipaensis
Lineage: Eukaryota; Viridiplantae; Streptophyta; Magnoliopsida; Fabales; Fabaceae
Source: RefSeq, a predicted model, not a curated record